Molecule: long non-coding RNA, 1822 nt
Organism: Aethalodelphis obliquidens (Pacific white-sided dolphin)
Lineage: Eukaryota; Metazoa; Chordata; Mammalia; Artiodactyla; Delphinidae
Exons: 3
Source: RefSeq, a predicted model, not a curated record
AUAAUGGGGCCAAAGCUAGCCAAAAUUUUUAUGAAAUUCCUUCUUUUUAUCUUAAAAAUUCAUACAGAUUUGUACCCUUUUAAAUAUGUGGGCUUCCCCCUCCCCUUUUCUUAAAAUAAGUUUCCACUCUCAGUCUCUAUCUGAGUGGACACUCCAGGAAGACAUGGUGCCUCCACUGGCUGUGUGUAUCUGUUGCCUGCACCGUGGACCCCAUGCCCUGGGCCUCUGGUUUGGUUUGCGAAAGUGCAGGGACAGAGUUGAGGUCAAGGCCCUGCCUGUUUUCGGUCUAGGGCCCUCCCCACCUCUGCUCCACGCUCCUGCCUCUUGCUUUGGCUCUCCCAUCUCCUCUCACAGAGGUUUGUCCAUCCCAGUCCAACUCUCCCACUGGGUGUUCUCAGAAUGUCUCACCCCCCUCUUCAUGCCCUGAGGGUCCUUGUCCGGAGGGACACUACCCGUCUUCAGCCCUCUCUGCUGGCCAGUCUGACCCUUCACCUCCCCAGAGGAGUACUCGACUUGGGGAAGUUCCAUGCCCAUUUGGAAGAAACGGAGGUGCAGAGCUGAGAGAGGCUGGACCUCCAGGGUGCACAAUGAGAAGGGCUGUUGGAUGCCCACCGGGAUCUCUGGGCAGCUAUGAAAUGCUCUACUCUCUUCUCUUUUCCUUGCUGUCCCCGGGGCUGGAGGAGCACAGGCCUCCCAGUCAUGGGGCCUUGGCCUUGUUGGACUCCCAUCUCCUUCCAAAGGUUGAGCCUGGGGGGCCCAGAAGUGAGAGGAUGUUUUCUAGAAGCAAGCAAACGUGAAAGCAUGAGAACUGCCACCUGGAGCCAGCACUACAGUCCAUCCAGCCCAGCAAACGACCUUUAACUCAAAUCUUCCCCCAACUAUUCCAGUGGACACUCCCCUCUAGUGUCCCUGGAAAAAAAAAACAAAACACAAAACCACUGCUCUUUGACCCAGUAUUUCAACUUUGGGGAAUUUAUCCUAGACAUACACUUGCAUAUGUGUAAGUUAACAAAUUUUAUCUAUUGCAGUAUUAUUUGUAAUAGCAAAAGACUGGAAACAACCUGAAUGUCCAUCAGUAAGAGACUGGUUAAGUAACUUUUUAAACAAUGGAAUACUAUACAGCAAUGAAAACAGACCGUGACUACAUGCAACAACAUAGUGAGAAAGAAGAAGUGGGAUACAAAAGAACAUUUACACUAUGAUUCUCUUUGUAUAAAGAUUAAAAUCUGUUAAGGUAAAAACUAAACUAUAUUGUUAAAGGUGUUUACAUAAGUUGGAAAACUAUAAAGAAAAUGAGGACAUAAUUACUGAAAAAGUUAAGAUAGUGUUACUUCUAGAGAGAGGGAAGGGAUUUGGGGGAUACUUCUGUAGUGCUGGCAACGUUUUAUUUUUUGACCUGGUUGGUGGUUACAUAAGUGUUCACUUUAUAAUUAUGUUUUAAACUGUACAUAAGUGGUUCAUGCAGUCUUUUGUAUGAAUGAGGUCUCUCAUGAUGUUAAACUAUCACAGUCCAUCCAAACAGUGGAAUACUAUAUAGUCAUUAAAAAGAACAAAACAGCUCUAUAUGCAUGGACAUGGGAUGGAUUUAGGGGGAAAAAACAACCAAAGUGAAGUGCAAUGUGUUUAGUAUGCUACUUUCUGGGUGAAAUUUAAAAAAGACUAUGUCUGCCUCUAUGUCUUUGUCUGCUUAGACUAUCUCUAGAAAAAUACCCAAGAAUCAGGUAACAGGGAACUGGACAGUUGUUUCCCUUUUUGUACCUUAUGGAUUUCAUACCAUGUGUAUAUAUUACCUAUUCAAAAAAUAAAGUAAUUUAAAAAACUG